GGCACACGAAAAUUCCGCGGCAAAAGAUGGAAGCAAUCUGAAACCGUCAAUUAUAUUUCCAAGGAUCCAACGGCUGCCAACUGUAGGAAUGGAACACUCUGGAAAUCUAACAAUAAUCACGAUAUAAUGCACUCCUUACGAAGGUAUCCACCACGUGAAACCCUAGUUCUUUGUGGUUGCUCUUUGCCUUUCGUCUUCUUCUUCUUCUUCGCGCAUUCUCAAUAUAUCCGUUGACAGAACAGAGCUUGAAGAGAAAAGGCUUGAAAUAAUGGCAGGUAAAGGAGAGGGUCCAGCGAUCGGUAUUGAUCUUGGUACCACGUACUCUUGCGUAGGCGUGUGGCAACAUGAUCGUGUGGAGAUCAUCGCUAAUGAUCAAGGGAACAGAACGACGCCGUCUUAUGUUGCAUUCACUGAUACAGAGCGUUUGAUCGGUGAUGCAGCUAAGAAUCAGGUCGCCAUGAACCCCAUAAACACCGUUUUUGAUGCGAAGAGGUUGAUUGGAAGGAGAUUCAGCGAUGCCUCUGUUCAGAGUGACAUCAAAUUGUGGCCAUUCAAGGUCAUUCCUGGUCCUGGUGACAAGCCCAUGAUUGUUGUUGCAUACAAAGGCGAGGAGAAGCAAUUUUCUGCUGAGGAGAUCUCCUCCAUGGUGCUUAUGAAAAUGCGUGAGAUUGCUGAGGCUUACCUUGGCAACACUGUGAAGAAUGCCGUGGUCACUGUCCCUGCCUACUUCAAUGAUUCUCAGAGGCAGGCCACAAAGGAUGCUGGUGUCAUUGCAGGUCUCAACGUCAUGCGUAUCAUCAAUGAGCCCACUGCUGCUGCAAUUGCUUAUGGCCUUGAUAAAAAGGCAUCAAGUGUAGGUGAGAAGAAUGUCUUGAUUUUUGA
RNAcentral lists this unclassified non-coding RNA (882 nucleotides) under Hevea brasiliensis (rubber tree). Lineage: Eukaryota; Viridiplantae; Streptophyta; Magnoliopsida; Malpighiales; Euphorbiaceae. The record is from RNAcentral.